This is a non-coding RNA of Paramuricea clavata, 73 nucleotides long. The record is from the annotation of a GenBank genome assembly. NCBI's taxonomy places the organism in Eukaryota, Metazoa, Cnidaria, Anthozoa, Malacalcyonacea, Plexauridae.
GACCGCGUAGCUCAGUUGGCAGAGCAUUGGGCUAGUAUUCCAAAGGUCGUAGGUUCGAUCCCCACAGUGGCCA